GAUGAACGCUGGCGGCGUGCUUAACACAUGCAAGUCGAACGGAAAGGCCCUGCUUGCAGGGUACUCGAGUGGCGAACGGGUGAGUAACACGUGGGUGAUCUGCCCUGUACUUUGGGAUAAGCCUGGGAAACUGGGUCUAAUACCGAAUAUGACCACUUCUUGGAUGGGGUGGUGGAAAGCUUUUGCGGUAUGGGAUGAGCUCGCGGCCUAUCAGCUUGUUGGUGGGGUAAUGGCCUACCAAGGCGUCGACGGGUAGCCGGCCUGAGAGGGUGUACGGCCACAUUGGGACUGAGAUACGGCCCAGACUCCUACGGAGGCAGCAGUGGGGAAUAUUGCACAAUGGGCGCAAGCCUGAUGCAGCGACGCCGCGUGGGGGAUGACGGCCUUCGGGUUGUAACUCCUUUCGCAACACGAAGCUUUUUGUGACGGUAGGUUGAGAGAAGCACCGGCUAACU
Molecule: ribosomal RNA, 455 nt
Filed under: uncultured bacterium
Lineage: Bacteria
Description: bacterial SSU rRNA
Rfam family: Bacterial small subunit ribosomal RNA
Source: RNAcentral